CUUAAGUGGCGGACGGGUGAGUAACGCGUGAGAAUCUGCCUUCAGGACGGAGACAACAGUUGGAAACGACUGCUAAGCCCCGAUGAACCGAAAGGGAAAAUAUUUAUAGCCUGAAGAUGAGCUCGCGUCCGAUUAGCUAGUUGGCGGAGUAAAAGCCCACCAAGGCGACGAUCGGUAGCUGGUCUGAGAGGACGAUCAGCCACACUGGGACUGAGACACGGCCCAG
RNAcentral lists this ribosomal RNA (226 nucleotides) under uncultured bacterium. Its description in RNAcentral is "partial 16S ribosomal RNA". It matches the Rfam family "Bacterial small subunit ribosomal RNA", at positions 90 to 334 of the family's 1533-position model. The record is from RNAcentral.